AGAAACGCGAUGAAGGGGCAAUACCGUUACUAGUCUGUCUCAGAGAACCGGCGGUUGGUGUGAGUCGGUGGCAGCAGGCGGUUGAUCCACCCUGGGAGCGGACGGCGGACCCGUACGGCAGCGCACGUUACGCGCCUAAAGCGGAUCGUUCUUUACGAUCAAACUGGGUGGCACCACGGGAGUCAAUCCCGUCCCUAGA
Molecule: non-coding RNA, 199 nt
Filed under: Anaerosporomusa subterranea
Lineage: Bacteria; Bacillati; Bacillota; Negativicutes; Acetonemataceae
Description: Anaerosporomusa subterraneum T-box sequence
Rfam family: T-box leader
About the family: Uncharged tRNA acts as the effector for transcription antitermination of genes in the T-box leader family. T-boxes are found upstream of many aminoacyl-tRNA synthetase genes and some amino acid biosynthetic genes usually in Gram-positive bacteria.
Source: RNAcentral